Molecule: long non-coding RNA, 726 nt
Organism: Pipistrellus kuhlii (Kuhl's pipistrelle)
Lineage: Eukaryota; Metazoa; Chordata; Mammalia; Chiroptera; Vespertilionidae
Exons: 3
Source: RefSeq, a predicted model, not a curated record
CUUUUUUGUCUGAGCUGAGACUUAAAGCACAGGGGCACAAACGCUGAUAUUCCAUCUCAUCUAAGUCCUCCUCUCGGAACCUCCAAACUGGUCGAAGACCACUUACUCUAAACAUCACAGCUAAUGCUGAAGAGUAUGGAGCCUACAUAGAUGCUAAGAAGAUGGCUCCACUGGUGUCAUUGAUCGCAUCAAAAAUUCAAGGCUUACAGAAACACUAGAGGGCUAAUUGGUAGCAGAACAUUUCAGACUUAAUCUUAAUGCAGUCUUAAUCUUCUGCAUUAAACCUACCGAAGGUUUCCUCUUGCAGCAGACAAGGGGAAGUUUAGUGCCUCGGCGAAAAACACCUGGUGAGAGCAUUCAAGAACAUUGCAGUACAUGGACUACAAACCUGAAAAUGUCACUAAACAAACUGUCAGAAAAUAAGAGCAAUCCGUUCAGAGCCUGCACCACUGGAAUGCUCCUGGCUUUCCCUUGCUAUCGCUUCUUUCUCCACCAAGCCAGGCUUGCUUAUGGGUUUUAGAAACAAAGCUGUGAAGGGAAAAUCCCCAUAAUUCUAAAGCAUGUGCUACCCUGGAAUUUGAUAAUUUUCCAAUGUUGCAAUAGGAGGGAUUCCUCUGCAGAAACUCAGAAUGAACAUCCUGUUUGAAUAAAUGACUUUAAACAACAAGCUUAGGGUUGCUGGUAUAGGGCCAGCAAGUCCAGAGACUGUGUACAACCGGGUGUAUG